GUAGGUGGCAAGCGUUGUCCGGAAUUAUUGGGCGUAAAGCGCGCGCAGGGCGGUCCUUUAAGUCUGAUGUGAAAGCCCACGGCUCAACCGUGGAGGGUCAUUGGAAACUGGGGGACUUGAGUACAGAAGAGGAAAGCGGAAUUCCAAGUGUAGCGGUGAAAUGCGUAGAGAUUUGGAGGAACACCAGUGGCGAAGGCGGCUUUCUGGUCUGUAACUGACGCUGAGGCGCGAAAGCGUGGGGAGCAAACAGGAUUAGAUACCCUGGUAGUCCACGCCGUAAACGAUGAGUGCUAAGAGUUAGGGGGUUUCCGCCCCUUAGUGCUGCAGCUAACGCAUUAAGCACUCCGCCUGGGGAGUACGGCCGCAAGGCUG
RNAcentral lists this ribosomal RNA (372 nucleotides) under uncultured organism. RNAcentral's name for it is "partial 16S ribosomal RNA". It matches the Rfam family "Bacterial small subunit ribosomal RNA", at positions 527 to 896 of the family's 1533-position model. The record is from RNAcentral.